AUUGAACGCUGGCGGCAUGCCUUACACAUGCCAGUCGAACGGUAACGGGCCUUCGGGUGCCGACGAGUGGCGAACGGGUGAGUAAUACAUCGGAACGUGCCCGAUCGUGGGGGAUAACGAGGCGAAAGCUUUGCUAAUACCGCAUACGAUCUGCGGAUGAAAGCAGGGGACCGCAAGGCCUUGCGCGGACGGAGCGGCCGAUGGCAGAUUAGGUAGUUGGUGGGAUAAAAGCUUACCAAGCCGACGAUCUGUAGCUGGUCUGAGAGGAUGAUCAGCCACACUGGGACUGAGACACGGCCCAGACUCCUACGGGAGGCAGCAGUGGGGAAUUUUGGACAAUGGGCGCAAGCCUGAUCCAGCCAUGCCGCGUGCAGGAUGAAGGCCUUCGGGUUGUAAACUGCUUUUGUACGGAACGAAAAGCCUUCUUUUAAUACAGGAGGGUCAUGACGGUACCGUAAGAAUAAGCACCGGCUAACUACGUG
Molecule: ribosomal RNA, 482 nt
Filed under: uncultured bacterium
Lineage: Bacteria
Description: partial 16S ribosomal RNA
Rfam family: Bacterial small subunit ribosomal RNA
Source: RNAcentral